GACCCCGCACAAGCGGCGGAGCAUGCGACUUAAUUCGAUGAUACCCGUAGAACCUUACCUGGACUUGACAUAUAGGGUCAAGCUAUAGAGAUAUAGUGUGCAUUAGCGCCCUAUACAGGUGGUGCAUGGCUGUCGUCAGCUCGUGUCGUGAGAUGUUGGGUUAAGUCCCGCAACGAGCGCAACCCCCUGUCCUAUGUUGCCAGCAUUUAGUUGGGGACUCAUAGGAGACUGCCGUGAUAAACCGGAGGAAGGUGGGACGACGUCAAGUCAUCAUGCCCCUUAUGUCCAGGGCUGCACGCAUGCUACAAUGGCAAGUACAACGAGUCGCAAUACCGCGAGGUGGAGCAAAUCCGACAAACCUAGUCGU
RNAcentral lists this ribosomal RNA (367 nucleotides) under uncultured bacterium. RNAcentral describes it as "bacterial SSU rRNA". It matches the Rfam family "Bacterial small subunit ribosomal RNA", at positions 920 to 1289 of the family's 1533-position model. The record is from RNAcentral.